CAGGCAAGAUAUUAUUUGCUAUGAAGGAGUGAGACUGGAUUUUUCUGGGAUUGAGUUUCCAAUCACAAACAAAGGAAUAAAGAGAUUCGAAUUAUCCAAUGCUAAUAUUAGCAUAAAUGUGUAUGAAAUCGAUGACAAUGGAAAAAACGUUGUAGGACCAACAGUGAGGACUAAAGCAAUUCGAGGACAUCACAUCAACCUAUUAGGGAUUAAUAA
RNAcentral lists this long non-coding RNA (216 nucleotides) under Drosophila guanche. Lineage: Eukaryota; Metazoa; Arthropoda; Insecta; Diptera; Drosophilidae. The record is from RNAcentral.